This 93-nucleotide small RNA is filed under the name Marmota monax (woodchuck). Lineage: Eukaryota; Metazoa; Chordata; Mammalia; Rodentia; Sciuridae. The record is from RNAcentral.
GUCGGGCAUGGUGGCACAUGCCUGUAAUCCCAGCAGCUCAAGAGGCUGAGGCAGGAGGAUCACCUUAAGCAAUUUAGUGAGACCCUGUCUCAA